This 71-nucleotide transfer RNA is filed under the name Loxodonta africana (African savanna elephant). It matches the Rfam family "tRNA". From Rfam's summary of the family: Transfer RNA (tRNA) molecules are approximately 80 nucleotides in length. Lineage: Eukaryota; Metazoa; Chordata; Mammalia; Proboscidea; Elephantidae. The record is from Rfam by way of RNAcentral.
GCAGUGGUGGUUCAGUGGUAGAAUCCUUGCCUUCUGUGCAGGAGACCUGGGUUUGAUUCUUGGCCAAUACA